GUGGGGAAUCUUGCACAAUGGGCGAAAGCCUGAUGCAGCGACGCCGCGUGCGGGAUGAAGGCCUUCGGGUUGUAAACCGCUUUCAGCAGGGACGAAAUUGACGGUACCUGCAGAAGAAGCCCCGGCCAACUACGUGCCAGCAGCCGCGGUAAUACGUAGGGGGCGAGCGUUGUCCGGAUUUAUUGGGCGUAAAGAGCUCGUAGGCGGUUUGGUAAGUCGGGUGUGAAAUCUCCACGCUCAACGUGGAGGGGCCACUCGAUACUGCCCUGACUAGAGUCCGGUAGAGGAGUAUGGAAUUCCCGGUGUAGCGGUGAAAUGCGCAGAUAUCGGGAGGAACACCAGUAGCGAAGGCGGUACUCUGGGCCGGAACUGACGCUGAGGAGCGAAAGCGUGGGGAGCAAACAGGAUUAGAAACCCGAGUAGUCC
RNAcentral lists this ribosomal RNA (426 nucleotides) under uncultured bacterium. Its description in RNAcentral is "bacterial SSU rRNA". It matches the Rfam family "Bacterial small subunit ribosomal RNA", at positions 354 to 796 of the family's 1533-position model. The record is from RNAcentral.